RNAcentral lists this signal recognition particle RNA (95 nucleotides) under Profundirhabdus halotolerans. Its description in RNAcentral is "signal recognition particle sRNA small type". It matches the Rfam family "Bacterial small signal recognition particle RNA". From Rfam's summary of the family: The signal recognition particle (SRP) is a universally conserved ribonucleoprotein involved in the co-translational targeting of proteins to membranes. Archaeal SRP consists of a 7S RNA and homologues of the eukaryotic SRP19 and SRP54 proteins. Lineage: Bacteria; Bacillati; Actinomycetota; Nitriliruptoria; Nitriliruptorales; Nitriliruptoraceae. The record is from RNAcentral.
GGCGUCCGUCGGUGACGUCCCCCGGUGAACUGGGUCAGGGCCGAGAGGCAGCAGCCCUAAGCCGUUCUCGGACGGGUGCCGAGCCGGGCGUCCGU